AGCUUUAUAGUCAAAAAUGAUUUUAAAUUGCAAAUUUAAAGGUGGAUAACUUCUAAGGCUU
This 61-nucleotide transfer RNA is filed under the name Chalcophana sp. N69. Its description in RNAcentral is "tRNA-Cys". Lineage: Eukaryota; Metazoa; Arthropoda; Insecta; Coleoptera; Chrysomelidae. The record is from RNAcentral.